GCUGGGCGUGGUGGCGGGUGCCUGUAAUCCCAGCUACUUGGGAGGCUGAGUCAGGAGAAUCGCUGGAACCCAGGAGUCGGAGCUUGCAGUGAGUCACAAUCUUACCACUGCACUCCAGCCUGGGAGACACAGCGAGACUCUGUCUCAA
This 148-nucleotide non-coding RNA is filed under the name Chlorocebus sabaeus (green monkey). Lineage: Eukaryota; Metazoa; Chordata; Mammalia; Primates; Cercopithecidae. The record is from Rfam by way of RNAcentral.